This 6283-nucleotide long non-coding RNA is filed under the name Sus scrofa (pig). RNAcentral's name for it is "lncRNA (ENSSSCG00065055800.1)". Lineage: Eukaryota; Metazoa; Chordata; Mammalia; Artiodactyla; Suidae. The record is from RNAcentral.
AAACUUAUUCCCCUAUUUUUUAUUGCCUUGGAAAUAUUCCCAUGUCACAAAAGCCACUAUUUUCCCAUCAUUUUUUUAGUAUUUAUAUUCCUAGGUCAUUUGAAAUUAGUCUGCUGUAAAAUGAGGAACUAAGUUCAAUUUUUCAAGCAGUCACCCAACAAUCCUUGAAUGACUUAGCUCAUUUUGAAUGGUCUUUCCUUUCCCCAUGGAUUCAUAAUGCCAUUUUAAGUAAUCUUGGAGAAAUCAUAGAAUGUUCGGUUUCCUCAACUACAAAUGAGGAUCAACAAAAGCAUCCAUGGAUCUUAUGUGAGGAGUAAAUGAGUUAAUGCAUGUAAAGCUUAGAAGAUCACCUGUCCCAUGACAUGUUAAGUAUCUGGGUGUUAGCUAUUAUCUUUUAUUAUCCUUACCCAUCCACUUAAUUUAGCAUAAUUAUGGAAAGUUACAGUGAUUAUUUGUAAAUUUGGUCAGAAAAGAAAUAGGAUUUGCAACAUCAGUUGGAAAGAACUGACACAUGUAUAAUAUUCAUGGAACAAUGACUUCUAUGUAGUUAUAAAAAUGAAGAGCUAUGCCUUACACUACAGUUUGUAAUUCACAUAAGUAAUGCUAAUCCUCACUACAGUCUGUUGCCAUAGUCAAAAACAUGUUUUCUUUUUUCUCUGUAUAUAUUACCAGAGUUUUUCUGCUAUGCAGAAAAAGUACAGACUUUUAAGCAUUUUAAAUAAAUAGCCAAGUAGCUUAAAAAACUAUUAUUAAUUCUAAGCAAUAUUUUUCUGUAGUUGUUAACACGUAGGCUCUUAGGUUUUCUAUGUAGAUAGUCAUCCUUUUCAUAAAGAGAGAUCAUUAUGUCUCCCCUUUUUCAGUGGCCCUAGCCUCCCUAUCUUAUUAGCUAAAUUUUCCAGGAAUGCACCAAACAAGAUCUCAGGGCAAAUAUUUUCACCUGUUUUGUCUCCCUCCCCUCCCCCACAGCAUGUGGAAUUUUACAGGCCAGAGAUCAAACAUGCACCAUAGAAGCAAACCAAGCCACCACAGUGACAAUGCUGGAUCCUUAACUCACUUUGCCAUAAGGGAAACCCCCACCUUGUUUCUUACUUAAUAAAAAUGUUUCUAGGUUUUUCACUGUAAAGAGUGAUGUUACUCAUUGAUUUUCCUUAACUUGUGAGAAAAUAUUAGGAGUUCAACAAUAACAUGUUUUAAAUAACAUCAAAUAACAUUUUGAGAUUCAGUGAGGCAAGUAGUUUUAUCCUUUAACCAACAGUAAGAUUUCAUUGUUUCUAUAUUAAAUUAUGCAUCCCUAGAAUAAACACUUCUAAUUAUGUAUUCUAUUUACAUACUGAAAAAUUUGAUUUAUUGUUUAUUUAUAAUUUUUAUAAUUUUGUAGACUUUUUUUGGCUGUUUUGUAAAGCUUUGGAAUCCUGAUGGUAUCAUGAUUAUGUCACUCCAUAAGAAUAAGUAGAGGUAUUUGUUUCACCAAGAAUAUUUUACUGUUCUGGGUUUUUAAAAAGUUAAUAUGAGAAUUAACUUUACCUUAGCAUUUUAAAAUAAGCUACCUAUAAAACCAUGUAGAGCAAGAACAUUGUAAGAAGGGAUUCUUGGGUAUUUUCUUACUUUUUCAGUAUUUAUCAGUUUAAUCUUUCAGUGAAUUUUGACAAUUAUAAUUUCCUGAUAAUUCAUCCAAGUUAUAAGAGUUUGAAAUGUAUCCAAAUGGGCUUCACAAAGCAAAUUUUACUUUGCUUUUAAUCUCAUCUCUAUCAACAGUUGUAGCCCUUAACCAUUCAUAAUGUUGCAUAUUUUGUUUUCUACUUUUAAUUAAAAUUUCCAGACAUUGGUCCAUUAUGUUGAUUUUAUCCAAAGAUUUUCUAUAUUAUUUUUCUGUUUUCAGUUAAUUAAUUUAUGCUGUCAUUUUAUUAUCUCUUUCCUUCUGUUUUCCAUUUUGUAUUCAAAAUGUAUAAAAUAUUUUAAUGAAAGAGCAUGAUUUAAUGCAUUUUUAGGAAAGUAACAUUACUCAGUUAUUUCAUUUUAAUUAAACUUGGUUUUAAAGUGCAUGUAAAUCAUUUUAAUUUAAAUAUGUUAAAGUUUCAAUACUGCCAUUGAAUAUAAAUUGUAAUUUCCAGUUCAUUUAGUAUAUGAAAAAAUAGCAUCAUAGAGCAUUCAAAAAUCUUCAACAAAUAGAUUUCAAAAGGCUCCAGCAGCAAAUGUGGGGAAGAGACUCAGUAAAAUUCUAGAAAAUAUCAACUGCUGAUAUUUUUUCAAACAAGAUGGCAGCUAAAAAGGUGUCUUUAAGAUCAUGUUAACUUUAGUUGUGACUCUGCAAUAAAUAAUCAAAAUAAUCAACUCAUUUGAAAAUCAUAAAUGAAUAAAACAUCAGAUAAUGUAGAUUAUCUACUUCUAAAGUCCCAAAGAUGGUAGGCUAGAGGUACGCAUUUCUUCAAUCCUUUCAUAUUUUGGAUGAAGAAACUCUAGCCUAAUUGAAGAUAUUAACAUUCAUUCAUUUAUAUACCCAUAUACAUUUAGUGUGGCCAAUGGGUUGGACACCAUGUUGGAAUUGGGACUGGGAGAAUGUGGAGGCCAAGGUGAAUAGCACAGGAUGGUUGAAUUCCAGGAAAGCUCAAUGUGAGGAGCCUAACAGAACACUGGCAGAAUCCUGUGGCAACACUUGUCAUCUUAUUUGAUUUUCUUGUAACUAUUUCUGUCUGAAAUUAUAUUUACAUAUUUUCUUACUUGUUUGCCUCUCUCUACCUUUUAUGGUGAGUUACAUAAAGGAAACAGGAGCCUCUUUAACUACCGAAUACCCUAAGUACAGGAAAAGUCCUGUCAGAUGGCUGCAGCUCAACAAUUGUUUCCUGAAUUAAUGCCUAAAACUAUCUGUUGGCCUUAGAGUCUACCUGGAGGCUGGCUGUACUAUUAAGUCUUGAAGACAUAAUAAGAUUGCCACCAAAACCAGGUGAGGAUAUAAGGACUUCAAGAUGAAAUGAUAGAGGAAAUGUCAUUGGCAUGGGAGACCCUCAUUAACACUAUAGUUUAAGGAGUGUAGAAAAGAGGUGUAAGAAAGUGUAGUUUAAAGAGAAGACGGUUGGAAGGGAAGGGGCACUGCAUGUCAAACCUGAGAGUGCUGACUUUAUCCUCCCACCUACUGAGGAAUUUUGUAAAAGAAGGUGAAAUGGAUGGAUGUGAGUUUUAGAAAACACUUUGGUAGCUGUUUGGAGAAUGAGCUGGGGAGAGAAUCUAAGGUCACACUGAUGGUUACCAGUGGAGCUAGAGCUAGAAUAUAUUUUCCACUGUACAUUGUUUCAUUUCACAGGGGCAUACUUUUCAAUUUAGACUGAAAAAAAGCAACAGCCAUUCAUUUGGUCAAUUAAGGGCUCAGUUUUGUGGGGUUCCUGGAGGUUUAACUAUCAGAACGCUUCGAAAGGUAAAAGGAAACCACUGUAACUAAUAGGUGUCACCAGUCAAGAUCCCAGAUGUUUACUGUCUUCAAAGAUAAAAAGCUUGUUAACAGUAACUAUGGAGGUUACUGAUAACAGGCUGAUCAGUCUUGUUGUCUCCACAUGGCACUUCUAAUUUUUUUUUAAGCUUAUGUUGUUAAAAUAACUGUAUUUACUUUUGAAAAAAGACAACAUAUAUAAACUGGCUUUUAGCAGCUAAAGUAAUUUUUAGGUCUAAGAUUUGUUUGUUUGUUUGGCAGAAUUUUUGGGUGACAAUACCAAAGAAUAGCUUCCUAAUACACAAUGAAAAUGUAUAACCCAUUGAAUUGGCAAUGGUGUCUUUAUAAGCCUCUGCUUUAAUUAGUUUUUAAUUUAUACCCAUCUUCAUCUAAACGGAUUUACAAAGCUUUAUAUGUCAAUUAGUUUUGGUAACUAAAAAAUAAUCAAUAUUCAUUUGGUUUUCUAUUGCGGUUAUAAAUUUCUUCUAAGAACACAUCAACAUCCAUAUAAAGUAGAAAAAUCUGACACAAUAUGAAUCUCUAUAAAUCCUAUUUGGGUGUCUUCCAAAUUUUCUUUUCUCAUGUAUCCAGUUAAAAUUAACCCAAAUGGAGUAGCUGAGCUUCAUUUAAGUUAGCUUAGUGUUGAUAUUUUUAAUGGAAUUGUAGAAAUUGUUUAAGAAUUAUUAUUUCAUAUACUGGUGUUUUGAGAAAAAAAGCACUAGAUUACUGUCUCUCACACACUAGUGACUUAUGUAAGUCAAUUAUUUUUAGUAAGAAAAUAAUUUUUGAAAUAUGAACAAGAACAAAAUUACUGAGAUUUUCAUUAAAGGAAACCAAUUCCUUCAAUAUUCUGAUUUUUUUUAUUUUACUAAAUCAGUGGCUUUAAACGUAUGGGUCACUAUAAACCAAAUAUAAUGGAAAAAAUAAAAAUCAUUUUAAAAAUAAAAUAUCAUAGAACUAUAAAAAAAGAAAAUCAAACAAAAAAUUAAAUGUAUGGCUCAAUUUAAAUAUCAAAGCACUUAAUAAUUUUCUUAAUAAUUAUUAUAACUUAUCUCCUUUACCCACAGACUAUGGGCUCCUUGAGGAAAGGGAUUUAGUUCAGUGUUUUGACAUUACACUGAGUGCAAUGUCUUGGACAUAGUUGGCACCCAGUAAGUGUUUGUUGACAAAUAAUUUCAGGCACAGAAAACACAGUUGCUCUCAUUAACAUUUCAGCACUGGGGGAAAGCAUCCCAGAAUCAUCUAGUAUAACUCUACCAUCUUAUAGAGAAAGGGGUUUUCCAUCAGAAGAAAUAGGUAGCUUUUUGAUAAGCACAAAUGUCCCCAGGUCUCCUGACUCCUAUUUCAAUUUUUUAAUUUAAAAAAUUUUGAGGAGUUCCCACUGUGGCUCACAGGUUAAGAACCCAUGAGGGUUCUUAGUAUCCAUGAGGAGGCAGGUUCAAUCCCUGGCCUUGCUCAGUGGCUUAAGGAUCCAGGAAAACUUCUAAGUCAUGUGUUAAGGUUGUCAGGAACAUCAGUAGUCUGGGUUUUAAGGGACCGUGAGAAUCAGAGGUUUCCUAUUGACCUGAAACUCCUUUGGACUGUGAGACUGAUACUCCUAGUGUAUUCAACCUCAAAUAGCUAUAUUGUGGCUAUUUCUUAUAGCAACUAUUUCUAUGAUGGAGGAAAAUUCCUACCAGCUAGAAAACUCCCAACAUCUUACUAUGCAGUGAAAAAAGAAGACUGAUUCACACUGACCUUCUUUCACAUUUUCUAGCAGAUAUAUGAAAAUCUAGCAUAAGGCAGGCUUCACUGAGCAUCAUCACCAUGAGUUAAUCAAGGUCCUAUUUUGCCUCAUCCCUUAGGCAGUGGUUCUCAAACUCUAGUCCUUAGCACAAGCACCUUGCAGGCUUGUUAAACCAGGUAAGUGGAAGUACUUACUACUGGGCUUUUCCUCCAGAGUUGGAUUUUCACUGGGUCUUGGAUGGAGCCUGACAAUUUGCUUUUGCCACAGGUUCCAAGACAAUGACUUUGAAAUGAAUGGGUCUGGACAACCACACUUUGAGAACUACAGCCAUAGGGCUGCUAAAUUACUCCUAAAUGUUUUACCUCAUAUUUUCAUACACUGGUCACAUACAACCAAUUGGCACCCUCCCAAAUUUGUUCUAUCUGCUUAACAAUACACCUGAUACCUUAUUGAAAUGGAAACAACAGGAUCUCAUAGCAGCUGCUUAGAUAACAUGGGAGUGUUUCUCACCACUUAAAUUGUCAAAAAUAGCAUUUGUGUUCUUUCUGAUCAUCUGUCUGAAGGUAGAAAUAUUAGCUUAUAGGUAAACCAAGUUGUCUUCACAGAAUGAAAAUUAAGGUGAAAACUCAAAGAUGAAAAAGAAAAGAUGAGAUGUUGAGGGGAUAAAGGUAUUUGAAGGCCAUGUUUUUGGGAGGCUGGCUGAAGAAUAAGGCAUCAUUAUUAAAGAUUUACCAGAGGGAUAAAUAGAAUCUCACCCUAGCAUGAGAGGAAGCAGCCGGCCAAUUCCCUAGCAGAAAAAUCCAUCAAAAGUUGUUAUCAAAAAAAAAAAAANUUUUUAAAAAAAAAAAAAAAAAAAAAGAACUUCAGCCAAAAGGAAAAGGUAUUUCUCUACUACCAUGCACAAUUUGGCCUUCCAAGUGUCAUAGAGUUUGCUCCCAGUGUGUCAACAACUUUCUGACUGCUCCUUGUUGGUAUGUGGUCUCCAACACUGUGUACCAACCCAGAAGUCUUACUCCCAGCCUCCCGGCCCUGCCUGUGUAAAGAAUGACAGUCAGUACCUUGUGCAGUAGUAGCUCUGUGAUGAGGUGGAGUGGGACCUGUACAAGCCAGGAGGAAGAAGUCAGCCUUCAAAAAUC